Cygnus olor (mute swan) is the source of this 505-nucleotide long non-coding RNA. RefSeq lists it as uncharacterized. Lineage: Eukaryota; Metazoa; Chordata; Aves; Anseriformes; Anatidae. The transcript is spliced from 4 exons. The record is from RefSeq and is a predicted model, not a curated record.
CCGCAGUGCUCCGAGCCCCCAGCGAGGCCGCGGGGCGCGCCCCGGUGCCUGGUCGGCCCUGGCACCCUGCGCUGCCCGGGGCGCUGAGGGAGGCUUACGAAGAGCUGAACGCAGGCUCGGCGAGCUAGUUUUAGGGCUUCUCUUCAGCCUGAGCUGGGGAAAGGAGAGAGGGGCGUUAGGAAGCACAGCAGAAAAAAUAAAUUAGAUUCUGCCUGCUAAGAAACAUUUCAGCAAUGUGAGUGGAACAGCAACUUAGUGCUUACGUAAGAUGAGAAGAAGUGGAGGACCAAGACUACUUAGGGACCUGUUUAUGACAUACCGAACUUUUCAUCAUUUAAAAUUUGUCAGUGACAAAACUGGUUGCAACAUAACAGCUGCUGGCAGCUUCUAUGGAAUUAAUUGAACCUACAUUUCCUACUCAAGAAAAAUAUUCCUGGUGAAAAUUCCAGAAGAUAGUUUGAAGAAUUAAAUCUCAAGCAAUGAAAGUCUAGAACUUUGUGUCUUC